RNAcentral lists this long non-coding RNA (535 nucleotides) under Homo sapiens (human). RNAcentral's name for it is "HSALNT0293457". The record is from RNAcentral. Lineage: Eukaryota; Metazoa; Chordata; Mammalia; Primates; Hominidae.
AUGUGCCAUUCUCUGCUUGGAUGCACACAGAAUAUUCUUGCUCACAGAAUAACUCAGUUGAAGCCCUGAGCAUGUAAAAGGAGGCCUCUCUUAGCAGCUGGGAAGAGAGAGUGGAGAGAAAGAGGGAUCAGGACAGAUGUGGACACGGCAGAAGAAGAGGAGCCUGCUGUGACGGACUUCCUUGAAAUGACAAACAAAUGUUUAUUUCUAAUGAAUUGGACAUUACAUUUCCAAAGUUAUAAGAUGGCCAACAGACCAUGAAAAGACAAUUAUUUAGUCUCCUGCUUGAAACCAACAGCUUCAGCAAACUGCUGGCCUUGAAUCAGGACCAACCAUUCUUUUUAAUACAUACGGAAUACUUUUACUAGAACAUUCUGGCUUCAAGCAAAGCAUACUUAUUUCAUGCAAUAGGGACAGAGGGUCACUCCUGCUGAUAUCUUCUUUUGCAUCAUCUCACAUCUACCUACCUACUGGUUGGAUGAUCCUAAGCUAAUUACCUCACUCCUCUAAACUGCAGCUGUCACAUAAGCAGGUA